Molecule: ribosomal RNA, 433 nt
Filed under: uncultured bacterium
Lineage: Bacteria
Description: partial 16S ribosomal RNA
Rfam family: Bacterial small subunit ribosomal RNA
Source: RNAcentral
AACGAACGCUGGCGGCAGGCCUAACACAUGCAAGUCGAGCGAGGACUUCGGUCCUAGCGGCGGACGGGUGCGUAACGCGAGGGAACGUGCCCUUUGCUUCGGAAUAGCCCUGGGAAACUGGGAGUAAUACCGGAUGAGCCCUUUGGGGGAAAGAUUUAUCGGCGAAGGAUCGGCCCGCGUUGGAUUAGGUAGUUGGUGGGGUAAUGGCCUACCAAGCCGACGAUCCAUAGCUGGUCUGAGAGGAUGAUCAGCCACACUGGGACUGAGACACGGCCCAGACUCCUACGGGAGGCAGCAGUGGGGAAUCUGAGACAAUGGGGGAAACCGUGAUCUAGCAAUGCCGCGUGAGCGAUGAAGGCCGUAGGGGUGUAAAGCUCUUUCAGCUGGGAAGAUAAUGACGGUACCAGCAGAAGAAGCCCCGGCUAACUCCGUG